UGCAGCCUUGUCAAAUUCAGCACUUCCUGAUCUGUGGAUACUGCUGGCCAAAAUGGUUGCUACAUAAAAGUUAACAUCUGCUCGCGGGCCUCAUGUCUAUACAAAUGGACAAGGAGGACAGAUAUGAGCUGCUGACAAGC
Small nucleolar RNA from Bombina bombina (fire-bellied toad), 140 nucleotides. RefSeq annotates it as small nucleolar RNA SNORA5. NCBI's taxonomy places the organism in Eukaryota, Metazoa, Chordata, Amphibia, Anura, Bombinatoridae. The transcript has a single exon. The record is from RefSeq and is a predicted model, not a curated record.